RNAcentral lists this ribosomal RNA (468 nucleotides) under uncultured bacterium. RNAcentral describes it as "partial 16S ribosomal RNA". It matches the Rfam family "Bacterial small subunit ribosomal RNA", at positions 28 to 507 of the family's 1533-position model. The record is from RNAcentral.
GACGAACGCUGGCGGCGUGCUUAACACAUGCAAGUCGAACGGAAAGACCCUGCUUUUGUGCGGUGCUCGAGUGCCGAACGCGUGAGUAACACGUGAGUAUCCUGCCCUUGUCUUUCGGAUAUCUUCACGAAACUGGGGCUAAUACCCGAUAGGAUCUCCUGCUCCAUGGUGGGGGUUGGAAAGUUUCGGCGGUUGGGGAUGGAAUGGCGGCUUACCAGCUGGUUGGUUGGGUAGGUGCUGACGAAGGCUUUGAAGGGUACCCGGCCUGAGAGGGUGACCAGCCACAUUGGGACUGAGAGACGGACCAGACUGCUACGGGAGGCAACAGUGGGGAAUAUGACACAACGGGCGCAAGCGUGAGGUGGCGACGCUGGGAGCGGAAUGACGUCUUUCGGGUUAAAAACCGCUGUCGACUGAGACGAAGCGGGAGUGACGGUAAUGGGUAAAGAAGCACCGGCUAACUACGUG